Callithrix jacchus (white-tufted-ear marmoset) is the source of this 19067-nucleotide non-coding RNA. The record is from RefSeq and is a predicted model, not a curated record. NCBI's taxonomy places the organism in Eukaryota, Metazoa, Chordata, Mammalia, Primates, Cebidae.
CACUGUUAUUUUGGCCCUGACAUUCUAGGGUUCCCUGAGGCAGGGCAGGAUGGGGGAGGAGCUGAGCAUCAAGAAGGACAGUGUUGAUGUAUCACCUACUGACAGUUUAGAAAAGGGAAGGCAACAAUGUGACCCAUGGGCAGUGUUGUCCUGCCUGAGCCUUGUCUGCAGGGCUGUGGCACUGGGGAGCAGGACAAGGACCACACCCACUGGAGAAAGAAGCACGUGCUGCUUUUGUGAGUUCACAAAGGUCUCAAGCUUCCAGGGCUAACAUUGUCCCUGCCACAUGUGACCAACUUAGAAUGAUCACCUGCCACAUGCCACAGCCUGGACAUUGGAAUCUAAGGUGGAAGGAAGACAGCACCAAGCUGUGAAGUCACUCAAGCAGCCUGUGGAAAGGCCACAUGGAGAGAAACUGAGCUCCCACCUGCAGCCAGCAUGGACUUGAGUCAUAUGACUGAGACACCUGGGAAGUGGAUCCUCCAGCCCCAGUCAAGCCUUCAGAUGACAGCAGCCCAGAACCACCCAGCCAGGCCUGCUCCAUAUUCCUGACCCAAAGAAAUUGUGAGGCAUUGGGAGACAUUGAGAGAAAUUGUGAGACAAUGAUCAUUGUGUUGUAAGUCACUAAGUUUGGGGGUCAUUUGCUGUGCAGCCUCAGAUAAUGAGGACUUCUUCGUGCCCUUUCUUGGCUUCUUCUGUUGCUCCAACUGCCAUCUGAUGAAAGUGUGAUGAAAACCAAAGGCCCUCCUCCAGAAAGUUCAGCCAGAGCAUCCCAGACAACUGCCCUUUCAGCUCCAAAGAGUGCAGCCUCAUCAGCCCUCCGGAAUUCUGAAGCAGAAAUUCUAAAAGCCAAAGAACCGCAGAAUCAUGACACGUCACCACUGCGGCCACCAUGUCAUGAGGACAUUUAAGCAGCCCGUGGACAGGAACUGAAGGUCCUGGGAAACAACCAGUCCAUUUGCCAGCCCCUUCAAGCCUUCAGAUGACCACAGCCUCGUGAAAAAUUUGGAGCCAGAACCACCCUCCUAAGCCAAUCCUGAAUUCCUGAUCCACACAAUGGUUUGCGAGAAUCUGAACAUCCUCCCACCUCCAAAGCCACCACCUGGGUCCACAGCCACCCCGUCUUUGCUCUCCCUGACCACUGCCACAGCCUCCUCUAUGAUCUCACUGUUUCACUCCUGCCCUUCUCCAGCCUGUUCUGCCCAAGCAGCCUCCCUGCUCCAGCAGCUGUCCUGCCCCUCACUGAACAGGUGGAGCUGUGAUGGCAGAGGUGACCCCAUGGCUUCUGGGAGGCUGCAGGAGACUGUCCUUGGAAAACAGGAUUAACAGCGUCCUUCUGAGGGAAAGUCUUUAUUAGAGGAGUGACUCCUGAGGUGGUCAGUGGUGAAGACGGUCAGGGCCAGGUGAGGAGUGUGCCCGUGGCCCUGUUCCAUUAUUCUCCACAGUUUGGAUGCCAAUCCUGAGUGAGUGAGUAUGAAAGGGGUGUGUGUGCCUUAUGCCUGUUCCUGGUGGCCAGGGGAGCAGGCUGGUUCAGUGCACAGACACUGGCUGUGUGACCUUGGGCAAGUUGCUUAACCUCUCAGUGCCUCCAUUUCCUCCUCUGUAACGUGAGACUAUAAUACUACUCAUGCCUACCUCACAGGGCUGUCAUGAGGAUUAAAUAAGUUCAUAGGUGCAGAAAUGCUUAGGACAGGCCAGGCAUGGUGGUUUACUCUUGUAAUCCUGGCACUUCGGGAGUGGAUCACAAGGUCAGGAGUUUGAGACCAGUGUGGCCAAUAUGAUGUAACCAUGUCUCUGCUAAAAAUAUAAAAAUUAGCCAGGCACGGUGGCAUGCGCCUGUAGUGCCGGCUACUCAGGAGGCUGAGGCAAGAGAAUCACUUGAAACCAGAAGGCAGAGGUUGCAGUGAGCUGAGAUUGCUCCACUGCACUCCAGCCCGGGCGACAGAGAGAGACUCCAUCUCAAAAAAAAAAAAAAAAAAAAGCUUAGGACAGUAUCAGCACAUGCAGGAGUUACAUGGGGGAUGGCCUUUAAUAUCAUUACAGGAGUGGAUCAAAUCUAUUUCUGCCAUGGGCUUGCUGGGUGACCUAGCGCAGGUCACUUUGCCUCUCUAGGCCCAGUUUUCUCACCUGUAAAAUGGGACCAUACUGGCAGUAUCCAUAGGGCAAGUGUGCAAAUUUGAGGAGCUCGUAUAUGAAAGUCUCCUUCAGGUGCAAGGUUGGUCCUUGGUGAUGCACGGAUGUGAGCCUCUUCAUGUGCCUGCAUGUGUGGGGCAUGGGCAAGCACUCAAGUGGCCUGGACUCCUAUCUUGGCUCUGAAUGCCCCGCUUCCUGGCCUGGGAUCAGCAGGACCUCAGUCCAUCCACCAUCCAAGCAUUCCUUUCUGUCCCUGCUUGCUUCCUGCUUCUUGGGCAGCACCACCACCUACUGGCCCAGAGCUACAUUGCAGCCAAUCUGCAUAGGAGGGCGGAGGGAAGGGAAUACGCACUGGGGCGGCUGCUGUGCGCAGAAUAUUUACCUAUGUACACACCAAGUUAGGUGUCAUUACCUCUAUUUUAUAUAGACUGAGAUUGAGGCUUGGAGGUCACACAGAGAGAGCCAGCUGUGAUGCUGGGGUUAGAGUCUCUGUCUCCCUUUCACCCCUACUCCAAACACCCUCUUAGAAUGAGAAUCAGUUCAGGUUCUGCUGUCCUAGAGGAUCCUCCCCUCCCUUCUGCGUAGGGAGCCAGGAGCUGAAGUCCAGGGUCCUUGGGAGAAUGUCAGGGUUGUUCCCCCACCCAGGGUCCUGAUUGCAGAAGAAAGAACACUGGAUUCAGAGUCCAGAGGCUGGGGAGUCUAGCUUUCCCUUCCCCACCCCAACUGCCAGCAGAACAGCCUUUGGAAAGAAUAUAUCCUGAGUGGGUAUGGUCCUUUCCAUCCACGGCCCCACCCAGGAUAUAUGCUCAUACCCUGCGUACUUUCCAUAGAGAAAAAUAUGGACAGUUUUCUAAAUAUAGCCUUUUGCAGCACUAAAUGCACUGAUCAGAAAGAACAGCAGUAUAUGGUGGUGAUUGCAUGCAUUUGCAGACUGUAAUUUUAGGUUCUGUUCUCUCUCGGGGUGUGUGGGAUUCUGAACAUUGGAUCCACACCCCCACACCUUGCUCACAGCUGGGAUCAUGUCCAGGCAGAAUCGCCCACAUUGUAUACAUCUUUCUCCCUUCUCUCUUUCUGAGCAACACGCAGUUGCAUUUCUGAAGCUACAUAAUAAAAACAGCUAACAUUUAUUGAGCUUUUAUUAUGUAUUAGGCACUGCUCAGAGCCCUUUACUAAUGCAUUAAUUCAUUAAUUCAUAUGAUCCUCCUAAUAGUGUUAUGAGGUAGGUAGUAUUAUUAUCUCUUCUCUUUACAGAUGUGGAAACUGAGGCACUGAAAGGUUAAGUAACUCGUCCAAGGUCAAACCCAGCCCAAGGGUUCGCCUUGUUCCUGGGUGGGAUCGCAGUACUGGUUAAGCUAGAUUACCAAUCUGGGUGCUGUCAGCUGAUCCAGAAACCGCUGUAGUGCGGGGUCUGCAAAAUAUCUCAAGCAAUGACCGUAGGUUUUGCAAUAGUGAUACUGUCCCCAGAAACAACUUGGGGAGGUUCGGGCCCUUGCAGCUGGAGGCUGCAUGGCCCCUUAACCUUAAUUUCUAAUUUUGUAGCCAAUUUGUUCAUCCUACAAAGGCAUGCUGGUCCCCAGGCAAGAAGCAGGUCUUUUCAGGAAAGGGAUAUCAGCUUGUUUCAGAGUCAAACUAUAAACUAAAUUCCUUCCAAGGUUAGUUCAGCCUAUGCCCAGGAAUGCACAAGGACAGCUUAAAGGUUAAAAGCAAGAUGGAGUCAGUUAGGUCUGAUCUCUUUCACUGUCAUAAUUUCCUUAGUUACAAUUUUUGCAAAGGUGGCUUCAACAGCCAGCGAGUGGUACAGCCUGGACUUGAAGCCAGGAAGUCCGGGGCUGCAACCCACACUCGUGACUGGCAUGUUUGCCACCUGAAUGGAGGCUCCGUGGAGCCAUGUGUGCGUGCCUGUGUGCCUGUUCUCAGCCCACAAGCUCCGUUAGGCAGGCUAGAACUAUCCAGGUCAGCUCUGCAUCCUCAGUGCUGGUCUAUUCCAUCCGGGGCCCCACUCAGGGUAUAUGCUCAGUGACUGUUGCACAAAUGCAUAAAGCUCACCUUGCAUAAAGCUCAUUUCAGCUUCUGUAUCUGUAAGACAAGAAUCAGAAUCAGCUCUUCAGAUUGCUGGAGGCUCUGACAAGCCCAUUGGUGGGUGAAUUCUCUUUUGAGACAUUGAUAUGAGGCCAGGCGUGGUGGCUUACACCGGUAAUCUCAGCACUUUGGGAGACCAAGGCUGGUGGAUCACUUGAGGUUGGGAGUUGGAAACUAGCCUGACCAACUUGGAGAAACCUUGUCUCUAAAAAAAAUUAAAUUAAAAAUAUUUUUAAAAAAGAUAUUGAUAUGGGCUGGGCACAGUGGCUCACACCUAUAAUCACAGCACUUUGGGAGGCUGAGGUGGGGGGAUCACUGGAAGUCAGGAGUUUGAGACCAGCCUAGCCUACAUGGUGCAACCUCAUCUCUACUAAAAAUACAAAAUAUUAGCCAGGUGUGGUGGCACGCACCUGUAAUCCCAGCUACUCUAGAGGCUGAGGUGGGAGAAUCACUUGAACCUGGGAGGUGGAGGCUGCAGUGAGCCAAGAUUGCAUGACUGCACUCCAACCGGGGCGACAGAGCAAGACUCCAUCUAAAAAACAAAAACAAAAACACUGAUAUAAUUUGGAUUUGUUUUCUGUCCUGAAUCUCGGGAGGGGUUACAAUCCUCAGUGUUGGAAAGGAGCCUGGUGGGAGGUAAUUUGAUGUUGGGGGCAAACUUCUCCCUUGCUUUUCUUUUAGUGAAUGAGUUCUCAUGAGAUCUGCUUGUUUAAAAGGAUGUGGCACCUUCCCCCACCCCGCUCCAGCCAUGUAGGACAUGCCUGCUUCCCCUUUGCCUUCUGCCAUGAUUGUAAGUUUCCUGAGGCCUCCCAGCCAUGCUUUCUGUACAGCCUGCAGAACUGUGAGCCAGUUCAACUUCUUUUUUUUUCUCUUUUUAAAAUGAAUCACCCAGUCUCAGACAGUUCUUUGUAGCAAUGUAAGAACAAGGAAUCCAGAUGCUAAAUUCUCCCUUGUCUACCUCCACCUUGGUUCCCCCUUGGAUUUUCAAUCUAUUCAACUUAGUGGCCUGUACCAGCUAGGAAGAGCUAAUUGUGUGUAUCUGUAUCCCACUCUACAUUCUGUAACAUCAUGUCUGUAGCUUGAAAUCAGCAAUGGUGAGUAUUUACACUAUGGCAGUUCGCAAAUGCUUCAAACAGGGGUUUUCCCCUCUAGAGAUGUUAAAUGUUUGCCACUGCCAGGAGGAAAUGAGUCCUCUAAUGGCCACCUUCAAGGAUGUAGCACAGUGGAGUGAUCAUGCCUAUUGGCUCUGGAGCCAGACCACCUAGGUUCAAAGUCUAGCUCUAUCAUUUACCAGUUGUGUGAUGUUAUUCAGUUACUUAACCUCUCUGAGCCUCAUUAGUCUCAUUCAUAAGAUGAUUCCCUAUUUCAUGAGGGACUCAAUGCCAUCUUCCAUAUAAGUGCUCUCUCAAUUAAUGUUACAUAUUAAUAUUAUCAGUCAGCUUAGGAGGCGGAUAAACUUUCUUGUUUUCCAUCCUAGGAAAGGGGUUGCUAAGGACAGGACUUGCAGUGUCAAAAUGGAACCUUAAAAAUGGCAAUGCCAGGUCUGGGCCAUUUUUGAGGGUGUCCUGAGCACUGGAAGGCCAGAUCUUUAUGAGCCAAUACAGGUUGUAUGUGGUGGGGGGGCGGUUGCAGGAUGAGAGGCCUUCCCAUUUCUUUUCUUUUUUUUUUUUUUGAGAUGGAGUUUCGCUGCUGUUACCCAGGCUGGGGUGCAAUGGCACGAUCUCGGUUCACCGCAACCUCCGCCUCCUGGGUUCAGGCAAUUCUCCUGCCUCAGCCUCCCGAGUAGCUGGGAUUACAGGCACGCAUCACCGUGCCCAGCUAAUUUUUUGUAUUUUUAGUAGAGACGGGGUUUCACCAUGUUGACCAGGAUGGUCUCGAUCUCUUGACCUCGUGAUCCACCUGCCUUGGCCUCCCAAAGUGCGGGGAUUGCAGGCUUGAGCCACCGCGCCUGGCUGGAUGAGAGGCCUUCCCAUUUCUUUCCAGGAAAGGCAGCUGUUAGCUCUGAAGCCUAGAACAGAUUUGGGGGCAGAGGUGAUCUAACCAAACUUUCCCUCUGCCCUCAGCUUGCCAAUCUUCUUGCUGGUGAACACACCUAGUUUGAGGUAGAGAGUUUCCUAUUCCACCUCCUUCUUCCCUCUGUAGAGGAGGUGUGUGUUGGAGGAGGUGUGUGUUGGGGCAGGUGCGUGUAAGACCAUCCUAAGAUACCCUCCAGGGAAUCUUCCCAUCUUCUCCAGCAAUGCCCUAUCUGGCAUCCUGCCUGAAGCCGCAGGUUUCCCUUGGAAUCGCUAAAGAAGCAGGAGAGAACCCGGAGAACUUCCUGCCCAUGUGCACAAGAGGUGAUCCAGAAACUUCAAGGGGAAAAUCCUGCUCUUCACCCCAACACACCCUAAUAGGCAUUGAUUUUUGGCUGCCAAGAUUACAAUCUCUCUCUCUCUCUUUAACACACACACCACACACACACACACACACACACACACACACACACACUUCUGUGUGCCAGGAAGUUCCUGGAGGGUCCUUACUCCUCAGAUUCAGGUGCUUCAGGUGGUCCACACCUGGGAGGUGCACACAACUGACCAUGAUGCCCACAAGACUGUGUGAAGGGUUGCCCCAUGUGUCCUCCUGCCCCUCCCACUGGAUCCCAAUGAAGGAUCUUUUCAGUACAGGAAUCAGAGCAUGUCACUCCCAAUUUGCCUAAACCCUCCAAUGGGUCUCACCACUUUUGAUCAAGACCUAAAUCCUUUCCAAGUCCACCCUCUCCCUACAGGAUCUAACCCUGCUUCCAUCCCUGUCUCCUCCCCUUGUCUCUCCCUCUGGGAUCCAUAUACUCAGGCCUCCUGCAGACACUGGAGGUGCGAAGCUCACUCCUGCCCUGGGAUUUUGCUACUGCUGCCCCCUUGGCCUGGAACACUCUUCCCUGCCCUUUCUGCCCACAUGAAGCUGAGAGGCAGACAGACUCAUGGUUGCUAGUGUAGAGAGGCCACACUACUGGAGUUUGUAUUUCAGUUCUGUCACCUUUAACUGUGUGGCCUUCAUCUACUGCUCCAACUCAGCCAUGCUCAUAAAGCAAGAAGGUUACUCUGAGAGAAGUGGGUCAUUGUCCCCACCCCCCAGCUCCAAAGCAGUGUCACAGAUGCUUUGUCCAAGGGAGAGACAGGUCAUAAAAACACAGAUCUUUAAAGUCUGUAAAGGAACGGAUCCUUUAGAACAGAGUGUGUGGAAAUUUAAGCCUAAGAGUGCUCUCAGAAGCAGCGGAGAUUUUGGUAGUGAUCAGGACCCAAAGUUGCUACAGUAUAUCAGCUUAAAUGUUCAUUUUUUCCAGCAAAGAAUUUCAAGACCUGCAAAGAAAUAGACACAUGUGACCCAUACACAGGGAAAGAGCAGUCAACAGAUAUUACCUGAGGUCAGGAGUUUGAGACCAGCCUGGCCAACGUGGUGAAACCCAACUUCUACUAAAAAUACAAAAAUUAGCCAGGCGUGGUGGUAGGUGAUUGUAGUCCCAGCUACUCAGAAGGCUGAGGCACAAGAAUCACUUGAACCCAGGAGAUGGAGGUUGCAGUGAGCUGAGAUUGUGCUACUGCCCUCCAGCCUGGGUGACAGAGUGAGAUUACAUCUCAAAAAAGAAAAACAAAAACAAAAAGCAAGAAUAAGGGAAACUAUGAUGACUAUGUCUCAUGACCAGAGAAUAUACAAGAAGAUAUUAUUUUAAAAAAUUAAUGGAAAUUUUGGAGUUGAAAAGUGCAAGUGAAAAAUUUACUAGAGGGGCUCAACAGUAGAUUUGAGCCAACCAAAGGAAGAUUCAGUGAAUUUGAAGACAGAUCGAGAUUUUGCAGUCUGAAGAACAGAGAGAAAAAUAUGAAUAAAAGUGAACAAGUCCUUGGAGAAAUGUGGGACACAGCGAGGUGCACCAACAUAUGCACAAUAACGUAUGUAACAGAAGGAGAGGAAAGAGAGAAAGGAACGGAAAAACAUGUGCGAAAAUAAUCACUGAAGGCUUUGCAAAUUUGAUGAGAAACAUGAAUUAUGCAUUCAAGAAGCUUAAUGAACUCCAAGUAGAAUAAAUACAAAGUGGUCAACAACUAGAUACAUAAAAGAAAGAUGUUGAAACCCAAAGACAAAAAGGAAAUCUUGAAAGCAGCAAGAGAGACACAGCUCAUCACAUAUAAGGGAACACCAAUAAGAUUGACAGCAGAUUUCUCAUUUGAAACGAUGGAGGCCCUAAGGCAGUGGGACAACAUAUUCAAAGUGCAUAAACAAAAACUACCAAGCAAGAAUCUUACACCCAGCAAAAUAAUCUUUCAAAAGUAACAAUGAAAGAGAUAGUCCCAGAUAAACAAAAACGGAGAAUUUGUUGCCAGGAAACUUACCUUACAAGAAAUACUAAAGGAAGUUCUUCAGACCAUAAUUUGAAUCCAUACACACAGAAGCCAAAGUGUUCUGGGAAAGGCAAUUAGAUCAUUAUGAAAGGCAGUAGGAAUGCAUAUUUAUUCACCUUCUCCUAACAUUUUUAAAAAUAAUUUGUAUAUAAUUGUAUUGUGGGGCCAAGACAUAUAGAAAUGUAAUAUAUUUUGAUAAUAAUAGCACACAGGAGGUGAGUGGGAGCAGAGCGGUAUUGGAUUAAGCAAGUGAGACCAGAUGGGAACUGGAAUCCACAGCAACAAAUUAAGAGAACCAGAAAUUAUAAGUAAGAAAGUUAAUAAAACAAAGUCUUUUAAUAUAUACUUGCUCUCCUUUCUUCUCUCAGCUUCUUUAAAAGACAUAAAACUAUAUAAAGUAAUAAUUACAAGAAAGUACUGUUGGUUUUGUAACACAUGUAGAUGUAAUAUAUAUAAAAAGAAUAGUGCAAAGAGGAAUAAGAGAAAUAGAGCUAUAUAGGAGUCACUGGGCACGGUGGCUCACGCCUGUAAUCCCAGCACUUUGGGAGGCCAAGGCAGUCCUAUCUCUUGAGGUUAGGAGUUCAAGACCAGGCUGGCCAACAUGGUGAAACCCCAUCUCUACUAAAAAUACAAAUAUUAGCUGGGCAUGGUGGCAUGCUCCUGUAAUCCUAGCUACUGGGGAGGCUGAGGCAUGAGAAUCGCUUGAACCCAGGAGAUGAAGGUUGCAGUGAGCCAGGAUCAUGCCACCACACUCCAGCCUUGGCAACAGAGCAAGACUGUCUCAAAAGAAAAAAAAAAAAGAGAGAGAACUAUAUAGGAGUAAUGUUUCUGUAUACCACUGGAACUAAGAGUGUAAAUCUAAAGUCGAUUCUGAUAAGUUAAGGUAUAUAUAGUAAGUCUAAAGCAGUCAUUAAGACAAACAAACAGAACAGUGAAAAGGAUAUUAAAGAAAUUUAAGGCCAGGUGCAGUGGCUUAUGCCUGUAAUCCCAAUACUUUGGGAUGCUGAGGCAUAUGGAUCACCUGAAGUCAGGAUUCCAGACUAGUCUGGCCAACAUGGCAAAAUCUCGUCUCUACUAAAAAUACAAAAAAUUAGCCAGGUGUGGUGAUGGGUGCCUGUAAUCCCAGCUACUUGAGAGGCUGAGGCAGGUGAAUUGCUUGAACCUGGGAGGCAGAGGUUGCAGUGAGCUGAGAUCAUGCCACUGCACUCCAGGCUGGGUGACAGAGUGAGACUAUCUCAAAGAAAAAAACAAAAAACAACAAAACAAAACAAAAACACCAAAACAAACAAAAAAUGCAAAAAACAGGAAUUUAAAUAUUACACUAGAAAAUAUUCAUUUAGUGUAAAAGAUGUCAAGGAAGCACAGGGCGACAGAAAAGACCUGAGACAUAUAGAAAUUAAAAAGUGAAAUGGCAGACAUACAUCCAACUCUAUCAAUAAUAGCAUUAAAUGUGAAUGGAUCCAGUCAAAAGGUUGAGAUUUCCUGACUAAAUAAAAAUCCAAGCUCAACUAUAUACUGUGCGCAGAAGAUACACUCAAGAUUCAAAGGUUAAAAGUAGGUUGUGAGUUAACAGAUGGAAAAAAUAUAACAUGCAAACAGCAACCAUAAGAAAACUUGGUUGGCUACAUUAGCAUCAAGAAAAAUAGAUGUAUUGUACAUCUAUUUUAAAGUGAAAUACGUUACAAGAGAUAAAGAGGGACAUUUUAUAAUGGUAAAAGGAUCAAUCAAUCCAUUGGGAAGACAUAAAAAUUAUACACAGAUAUGCCCCUAACAACAAAGCCCCAACAUGUAUAAAGCAAAAACAGAACUGAAGGGGCAAAUAGACAAUUCAAAAAUAAUAGUUGGAGACUUCAAUAUCUCACUUUUAGUAAUGAAUGGAACAACUAAGCAGAGGACUAAAGAAUGCAACAGCAGACUUGAACAUUAAACCAACAAGACCCAAAAGACAUCUAUAGAACAUUUCACCCAAUAAAAAGAUAAUACAUAUUCUUCUCAGAGUACAUGAAAAUUAUUUAGGACAGAUUAUGUUAGACCACAAAACAAACAUUAAUGAUUUUUUUUUGACACAGAGUCUUGCUCUGUUGCCCAGGCUGAAGUACAGUGGCACAAUCUCAGCUCACUGCAACCUUUGCCUCCUGGGUUCAAGCAAUUCUCAUGCCUCAGCCUCCAGAGUAGUUGGGAUUACAGGCACCCACCACCCUACCCAGAUAAUUUUUGUGUUUUUAUGGAGAUGGGGUUUUACCAUGUUGGCUAGGCUGGUCUUGAACUCCUGACUUCAAGUGAUCUGACCGAGUCAGCCUCCCAAAGUGUUGGGAUUACAAGUGUGAGCCACCAUACUCGGGCAAUAAAUUUUUAAAGAUUGAAAUCAUACAAAGUACCUUCUCUGACUACAGUGGAAUGAAGCUAGAAAUCAAUAGAAGAAAACAAAGACAACUCACAAAUAUGUGAAAAUUUAAAAAUAUUUGUGAAAAUUCACAAAUAUGUGAGUCAAGAAAUCACAAGGGAAAUUAGAAAACACCAUGAGAGAAUGAGAAUAAAAACACAACAUACCAAAACUUACAUGUUUCAGUGAAAGCAGAAACAUUUAUAGCUGUAAAGACCUGCAUUAAAAAGGGAGAAAGAGGCCAGACAUAGUGGCUCACUCCUGUAAUCCCAGCACUUUGGGAGGCUGAGGCAGGCAGAUCACUUAAGGUCAGGAGUCUGAGACCAGCCUGGCUAACAUGGUGAAACCCCCUCUCUACUAAAAUAUAAAAAUUAACUGGGCAUGGUGGCACAUGCCUGUAAUCCCAGCUACUUGGGAGAGUGACGCAGGAGAAUUGCUUGAACCCAGGAGGCAGACGUUGCAGUGAUCCAAGAUUGCACCACUGCACCCCAGCCUGGGCAAAACAGUGAGACUCCAUCUCAAAAAAAAAAAAAAAAAAAGUCAUCCAAAAAAGAAAAACCCUCAACAAGUCCCUGGUGAAUUCUACCACACAUUUAAAGAACUAUGAUCAAUCUUUCUCAAACUCUUCCAAAAAUUUAAGAGAAGGGUUGGGGGACUGGGAGGUCCAACAUGACCUCAUCCACAUGACUGGCAAUUGGUGCUGAUUGUAAGCAGGAGUGUCUGUGUUCUCCUCCUUGUGGCCACUCUUGCUCUGUUAGGUCAGACAUCAUCCCUUACAUCCCUUAUGUAAGGGUCAAGGGUCAAGGGUCCAAGCCCAAGACUGGAACUGCAAGGUCUCUUGAGGCAUAGGCUCUAAAAAUCACAUGACAUCACUUCUUUCACAUGCUAUUGGUCAAAACAAGUCACGUGGCUCACUCAGACUCAAGACAGUGGAGAAACAGACUCCACCUUGGAUGGAAGGAAUAGCAGAGUCACAUUGCAAAGGGGCAUGGAUAGGGGUUAGGAGGAAUGUGUGGCCAUUAAUUUACCCCAAAGAGACUGGGCGUGGUGGCUCACGCCUGUAAUCCCAGCACUUUGGGGGGCCAAGGGAGGUGGAUCACUAGGUCAGAAGUUCAAGACCAGCCUGGCUGAGAUGGUGAAUCCUCAUCUCUACUAAAAACACAAAAGGUGGCUGAGCACGGUGGCUGACACCUAUAAUCCCAGCACUUUUGGAGGUUGAGGCGGGCAGAUCACCUUGGGUCAGGAGUUUGAGACCAGCCUAACCAACUUCUUUACUAAAAAAUACAAAAUUAGCCAGGCGUGGUGGUGCAUGCCUGUACCAGCUACUCAGGAAUCUGAGGCAGGAGAGUCACUUGAACCUGGAAGGUGGAGGUUGUGGUGAGCCAGGAUCACGCCACUGCACUCUGGCCUGGACACCAAGAGUAAAACUCUGUCUCAAAAAAAAAAAAAAGAAAAGAAAAGAAAAAUAAUACACAAAGUAGCCAGGCGUGAUGGCAGGCGCCUAUAAAUCCCAGCAACUUGGGAGGCUGAGGCAGGAGAAUUGCUUGAACCCGGAAGGCGGAGGUUACGGUGAGCCAAGAUUCCAUCACUGCAGUCCAGUUGGUCUCAAAAAAGAAAAAAAUUUAGGCGAGGUGAGGUGGCUUACGUCUGUAAUCCCAGCACUUUGGGAGGCCGAAGUGGGUGGAUCACAUGAGGUCAGGAGUUCGAGACCAGCCUGGUCAACAAGGUGAAACCCCAUUUCUACUAAAAAAUACAAAAACUAGCUGGGCAUGGUGGUGUGUACCUAUAAUCCUUGCUACUUGGGAGGAUGAGGUGGGGGAAUCGAUUGAACCUGGAAGGUGGAGGUUGCAGUGAGCUGAGAUCCACUGCUCUCCAGCCUGGGUGACAGAGGGAGACUCUAUCAAAAAAAAAAAAAAAAAAAUUUACUCCAGAGAAUGUAGAUAAGGUCUACAAGUCCAACUGACAUGGUUUGGCUCUGUGUCCUUACCCAAAUCUCACCUCGAAUUGUAAUAAUACCCACGUGUCAUGGGAGGGACCCCAUUGGAGGUAACUGAAUUAUGGGGGUGGGUUUUUUUUGUGCCGUUCUCAUGAUAGUGAAUAAGUCUUAAGAGAUCUGAUGAUUUUAUCAAGGCAAGCUCCCUUGCCUGUCACCAUGGAAGAUGACUCUUUGCUCUUCCUUCAUCUUCUGCCAUGACUGUGUGGCCGUCCCAGCCAUGUGGAACUGUGAGUCCACUAAACCUCUUUCUUUUAUAAAUUACCCAGUCUUGGGUAUGUCUUUAUUAGCAGUAUGAGAGUAGACUAAUACAUCCACCAACCCUAAAAAGUCAGUGGAAGGAUUCCAUAUGAAAAUUUAGCCAGAGGAUUUCAUGCUGGUUGUCUGAAAGCCAGAAGCUUUUUUUUUUUUUGAGGCAGAGUUUCACUCUUGUUACCCAGGCUGGAGGGCAAUGGCACGAUCUCGGCUCACCACAACCUCCGCCUCCUGGGUUCAAGCAAUUCUCCUGCCUCAGCCUCCCGAGUAGCUGGGAUUACAUGCAUGCGCCACCAUGCCCAGCUAAUUUUUUGUAUUUUUAGUAGAGACGGGGUUUCACCAUGUUGACCAGGAUGGUCUCGAUCUCUUGACCUCGUGAUCCACCCGCCUCGGCCUCCCAAAGUGCUGGGAUUACAGGCGUGAGCCACCGCGCCCGGCCGAAAGCCAGAAGCUUUUAAAAAAACCUUUCAGGACAACUGUCUAAGCAUGACCUCAUGUCAUCCUGUUGUGAGGAUUAAAUCAGUUAAUUCAGGCCUGGCAUGCAGUAAACACGUGAUCAGUUUCAGUUGUUAUUAUCUUCACAAUAAUUCUAUGGGUCAGGCUUGUUAUUUUCCCUGUUUUAGAGACUCAGAGAUGCACAGUAAGUUGCCUGAGGGUUAUGUAACAAAUAAGCAGGGAAGCCAGGUUAGAACCCACAUGAGAGGGUCACCCAUGUGUAAGACUCCAAAGCCUCACUCAGGUGCAGAGGGGCGGGUAUGAGGAUGUUCAUCGCUGCAUUGCUUUCAGUAGCUUAAAAUCAGAAACAGUGCAGAUGUCCACCAACAGGGGCCACCCAGUAAACCCCAGCAUGCCCAGCCAGGGAGUGCUUUGUGCUGGUUACAAGAAAUGAGGUCACGCUAUACAUAGGAUGUGGGACCAUCUCCAAGACAUUCUGUUCAGUAAAAAGAACAUCUGAAAAAAAGGUUCCAUAACCCACACAAAAUCCUGCCAAAUAUUCCAAAAAAUCUAAGUCCAGGCGUGCGUGUUUGUGACCUCUGGAGGCUGAUCUGAAGCAAAUCUAGGUGAAUUAAACAAUAGGAUCUAUUUAUAGGAGUCUUCCUUUCUUACUUUUCUUUAUUUUUGUUGGAUUUUGAAACAUGUUCAAAGAAAAAGUCAGAAUACAAUAAAGUACUGGUCGGGUGCCGUGGCUUAUGCCUGUAAUCCCAGCACUUUGAGAGGCUGAGGUGGGUGGAUUACCUGAGGUCAGAAGUUCGAGACCAGCCUGGCCAACAUGGUGAAACCCUGUCUCUGAUAAAAAUACAAAAUUAGCUGGGUGUGGUGGCGCAAGCCUGUAAUCCCAGCUACUUGGGGGGCUAGGCAGGAGAAUUGCUUGAACCCGGUAGGUGAAGUUGUGGUGAGCCAAGAUCGUGCCAUUACGCUCCAGCCUGGGCAACAAGAGUGAAACUCUGUCUCAAAAUUAAUAAAUAAAUAAAUAAAAAUAAAAAUAAAGACACAAAAAUUAACGGGGUGUGGUGGCAGGUUCUUGUAAUCCCAGCUACUCGGGAGGCUGAGGCAUGUGAAUUGCUUGAGCCCAGGAGGUGGAGGUUGCAGUGAGCUGAGCUUGUGCCACUGCACUCCAGCCUAGGUGACAAGAUGAAACCGGGUCUCAAAAAUAAAUAACUAAAUAAAGUACCAAGAAGAAAAAGGAAAUCACCUGAGAUUCCUCUCCUCUCCUAGAGCUAACUAGGCUAACAUUUUGGUAUAUAUCUUUCCAGUCUGUAUCCCGUGUGACUGAGUGUAUAUACGCAUAUGUAUUAUUUUCAACUGUUGGCUUCCUCCUCGUGGUCCAAGACAACUGCUCCAGAUUUAGCCAUGACAUCUGUUUCCUGCCAGCAAGAAGGGGAAAACGGGGAGUAGAGGGCCUUCUAAGUAUACAACCUAGAACUUCCACACAUUAUUCUUUAUCACAUCUCAUUUGUCUAAAUGCAGUCACAUGGCUGUGCUGGGCAGAAGGAAGCCUGGGAAAUGUAGUCUUUCCUCUGGGCUGCCUCAUGCCCAGUGAAAAGUCAGGGGCUCUAUGACUAUGAAAGGAACAGGAGAAUGGAUAUCGUGGCAACUAGCAGUGCUAUUCACCUUUAUUCUCUCAGUGGUAAUAUCUUUCCCCAACAAGCGGGAAAAAUUUGUGUCUUACAUUCUAACCAUUGAACUCUGGGAGAGGACACUGGCCUGUGUCAUUCUUUUGAGAUGGAGUCUCCCUCUCUCGCCCAGGCUGGAGUGCAGUGGUGUGAUCUUGGCUCACUGCAACCGCCAUCUCCUGGGUUCAAGCAAUUCUCCUGCCUCGGCCUCCUGAGUAGCUGAGAUUCCAGGCACACGCCACCAUGCCCAGCUAAUUUGUUGUAUUUUUAUCAGAUGUGGGGUUUCACCAUGCUGACCAGUCUGGUCUCAAACUCCUGACCUCAAGUGAUCUGCCUGCCUUGGCCUCCCAAAGUACUGGGAUUACAGGUGUGAGCCACCAUGCCCAGCCAAGGGCAGCCCUUCUUUCUUAAGGCAUGCCUCGUAGCCAGGGGCUCAACCGCAGUUUCCAAAUGAAAGUCAGAGUUCCGGCAACACAUCCAAUAUUUGCCAAUCACAGCACUUCCCCGAAUUUGCUUCCUGAAAGCAUCACGAAGAGAAUCAGGAAAGGCUAUCCCAUUACAAAAACAGAACUGCAAGACAAGGGGCAUGAUGCAACUUCUCCAGCAAUUUUCAGAUCCUUUGCUGGUCAUUCUUAAAGUGAUGCCAUUAGUCUCUCUGUGUGUAAAUUGCAUCCUGUCUAGAAGAGCUCUAGAAGAACAUUUAAUUUCUUUCUUUCUUUUCUUUUUUUUUUGAGACAGAGUCUUGCUCUGUUGUCCAGGCUGGAGUGCAGUGGCACGAUCUUGACUCACUGCAAACUCCAUUUCCCUGGUUCAAGCAAUUCUCAUGCCUCAACCUCCAAAUAGCUGGGAUUACAGGUGCCCACCACUACGCUCGACUUUAUUUUGUAUUUUUAGUGGAGACAGAGUUUCACCAUGUUGCCCAGGCUGAUCUCAAACUUCUGGCCUCAAGUGUUCAGCCCACCUUGGACUCCUAGGGCUGGGAUUACAGGUGUGUGCUGCCGCGCCCAGCCCAUAGAAGAGCCCUUAACUUCUCUUCCCUUCUGAAGGAGUUUGUAUGUGUGUUGCUGGGGAAGGGGUAGUGUGUUGGAGAUGCCAUGGAAGUGGAUUUCAACUUUUCAAGGACAAGCCAGAAGAUGAUGGACCAGGGAGGAGCUUUAAUUGCUCUGUGACUUGGUUUCCCCAUCUGAAGCCAGUGCUUGCCUUCGAUCAAGGUUUUUCCACCAACUCACAUGCUGAGGCUCAUGUCUCUGGCACAGAAAGACCAUGGGAUGCAGAACCUAGGCAGCCUGGGUCUGAGUCUUGGUUCUGCCAUUCACUGGCUGUGACCUACCAAGAUACUGGCCCUCUUUGUGCCUCAGUUUCUUUAUUUGCAAAAUAGGACUGAUAACAAUAGGAGGAAUUUCAUAGAGUUUCUGCAAGAAUUAAAUAAAUACAGCCUCAGAAAGAGCCCAGGGCAUGGGAUGGGGUUGGCCUUCAGCAGAGGACAGCAGGAAUGGCCUCGUACCCUUGCCUAUGACAUACCAGGAAAAGAAGCAGUGGGAAGCCUCUGUCAAGCCAUGCAGUUCAUGGUGGCUCUCAGUGUGGAUGGACAGGGUAGAUGCUUGGUUAUUCUGGUGCUGACCAACCCCGAGGAAGCAUAAGAGCCAUUCAGUCUCCUUCAGAUGGCAUGUCUCCUUCUGUCUUCAGUGUGGAGCUGGCCUGAUUUGGUGUUUCUGAACCCCCUUUCUCCAGGACGCAUCUGAAAUGUGGUACUCAGUGUUUAUGCCAACAGCUCAUCAGAAAGAAUCCUGGCUCCAGAGACAACUAAAGUGGGCUUUGUGUACAGAUUUCAACACCCGUUUUCUGCGGGAUCCUGGCUCCAUCAUUCCCCAACUCUGUCUCUACCACUGCAAUGUGAUGUGGGGUUGUCAUGAUGAGAAUUGAGCACAUUUCACAAGCUCCAGGGGCUGGGAGAACUGAGGAGGGCACACCAUUGUGUCAGUUUUCUACUGCUGCUGCCACACGUGGCCAGUAAACAGCAACUUUUAAAACAAUGCAAAUUUAUUAUUUGGCAGUUCUGUUGGUUAGACGUCAGAUCCAGGUCUCUCAGGGCUAAAACCGGGGUGUCAGCAGGGCGGUGUGCCUUGCUGGAGGCUCCGGGGAAGAAUCUGCUGCCAAGCUCCUGCAGGUUGCUGGCAGAGUCCAGUUCCACGUGGUUUCAGACGAGUUUCCUACUUCCUCACUGGCCGUCAGCUGGGGCCGCCCUUAGCUCCCGGGGCUCCUGAUUCUCUAGGUCCCUGUGCAGGGGCUCCUCUUAUAUCCAGAGCUAGCAACACCAGGCGUUUCAAAUCCUUCUCACCCUUGGAAUCUCCCGGAUGGUUCCUCCUGCAGCUUCUGUCUUCUCACCUCCUUCGCUGAAUCUCUUGCGACUCUCUACUUUUAAGGGCUCAUGUGAUUAGAUUGGGCCCACUCAGAUAAUCCAAAAUAAUCUCCCUAUUUUAAAGUCUGUAAUCUUCAUUCUAUCUGCAAAGUCCUUUUUGCUAUUCAAUGUAACAAUCACAGAUUCCAAAACUUAGAGUGUCUAUAUCUUAGGGAGCCAUUCUGCCUACCACUAUUUUUUUUUUUUUUUUUUGAGACAGGGUCUAGCUCUAUCACCAAGGCUGGAGUGCAGUGGCACAAUCAGGACCCACUGCAGCCUGGGCCUCUUGGGCUCAAGCAAGCCUCCUACUCAGCUUCCUGAGUAGCUGGGACUACAGGCACACACCACCAUGCCCCGCCAAAUUUUGUACUUUUAGUAGAGACAGGUUCUCACCACAUUUCCCAAGGCUGGUCUCGAACCCCUGGGCUCAAGCAAUCCACCCCCUUUGGCCUCCCAAAAUGCUGGGAUUAUAGGCAUGAGCCACCUCACCUGGCUUUACCACGAUUAUUUGUUGAGCCUUUCUCAGGGCAGGGCACUGGGCUUGUCACAGGGUGAACCCCAAAAUUAGAAUUCAACUGGGAAGGCCACAGGGGUUCUUAGCUUCCUACAGGAAAGAAUUCAAGAGUAAGUCAACAAAGCGAAAGCAAGUUUAAGACAGUCCCUCUUUGGGACUUUGGGACCGAGGUGGGAGGAUCACUUGAGGUCAGGAGAUCGAGGCCAGCCUGGCCAAUGUGGCAAAACCCCAUCUCUACAAGAAACACAAAAAUUAGCUGGGUGCAGUGGGGUGCACCUGUGGUCCCAGCUACUUAGGAGGCUGAGGCAGGAGGACUGCCUGGGAGGUGGAGGCUGCAGUGAGCCAAGAUUGUGCCACUACACUCCAGUCUGGGUGACAGGGCCAGAACGUGUCUCUAAAAAGAAAAAAAAAAUUAAAGGAAUAAAAGGAUGGCUACUCCAUAUAGUAGUCCUGAGGUCUGCUGGCUAUUUUUAUGGCUAUUUCUUGAUCAUAUGCUAAACAGAGUGUGGAUUAUUCAUGAGUUUUCAAGGAAAGGGGUGGUGAAUUCCUGGAACUCAGGGUUCCUCCUCUCUUUUAGACCAUGUAGGGUAGCUCCUGGCUGUUGCCAUGGCAUUUGGAAACUGUCAUGGCGCUGGUGGGAGUGUCUCUUAGCAUGCUAAUAUAUUACGAUGAGCAUAUAUUAUAAUUAUAAUGAACAGUGAGGACGACCAGAGGUUGCUUUCAUCUCUAUCUUGGUUUUGGCAGGAUCUGACCAGCUUCUUUUAUCAGCAAGGUCUUUGUGACCUGUACCUUGUAAAACCAGUCCUGCCUAACUCCUAUCUG